RNAcentral lists this ribosomal RNA (520 nucleotides) under uncultured Glomus. RNAcentral's name for it is "SSU rRNA". It matches the Rfam family "Eukaryotic small subunit ribosomal RNA", at positions 569 to 1091 of the family's 1831-position model. The record is from RNAcentral. Lineage: Eukaryota; Fungi; Glomeromycota; Glomeromycetes; Glomerales; Glomeraceae.
AGCAGCCGCGGUAAUUCCAGCUCCAAUAGCGUAUAUUAAAGUUGUUGCAGUUAAAAAGCUCGUAGUUGAAUUUCGGGAUCAAUAUGUCGGUCGUGCCUUCGGUACGUACUGGUAUCAUUGGUCUCUCCUUUCUGACGAACCAUGAUGUCAUUAAUUUGGUGUUAUGGGGAGUUAGGACUGUUACUUUGAAAAAAUUAGAGUGUUUAAAGCAAGCUAACGCUUGAAUACAUUAGCAUGGAAUAAUGAAAUAGGACGUUCGAUCCUAUUUUGUUGGUUUCUAGGAUUGACGUAAUGAUUAAUAGGGAUAGUUGGGGGCAUUAGUAUUCAAUUGUCAGAGGUGAAAUUCUUGGAUUUAUUGAAGACUAACUACUGCGAAAGCAUUUGCCGAGGAUGUUUUCAUUAAUCAAGAACGAAAGUUAGGGGAUCGAAGACGAUCAGAUACCGUCGUAGUCUUAACCAUAAACUAUGCCGACUAGGGAUCGGAUGACGUUAAUUUUUAAUGACUCAUUCGGCGCCUUAC